GUUCAGACAGCUCAUUGUAAAACAUCUAUAUCUUUUUACCCCGAUACCGGAUUUGGACGAAAUUGGUAUUGUUAGAAAGCUAAUUAAAUUUCCCACAUGAUAGAAGUUGAAAUUGGGGAAAUUCUAUCUGAUUUAAACAUUAAUCAUUUAGGAAAUCAUCACUAACUCUUUUGGAGACUAGAUUAGACUUUAAAAAAUAUUUAGGGUAUUAUAUCCAUAAAGCCAGGAAUUUAGUUUAGCAGCCAGGCAGACAAGUUCGUAUGGUUUCCCAUCUUUCCACCCAGUCUCCCUAUCCGAAGUCUCCCGAAUAUGCCCAUUCCAAGAUGUUGCAUCCUAGUAGUUAUGAGUUUAGCCCAGUUUAUAUGUCGUGCCUCAGUUUUAGACCCCAAAUACUCAGUCAAGAUUCAGUUCGUAGGUACCCCAUGCAUUGUCUCAGCUUUUCCUCAGUAUCUCAUCCAGGUCGACAUUCUCAUCGAGGUCGACAUUUUUCAAGAGACAUAAUGUCCCAAGGAAGAGAUGCACUAUAACCCUUGAGCUUUCAUGUCCUAAACCUUUUAAUUUCUCUUCGCGUAACGAAUCCAAUUUGGUGUAACGGGUACUCAUAAGUUGACUCUUAUUUUAAUCUCAGUCGUAUUAACAUUCCCAUAGCAUGGCAUAUAUAUUCAAGGAAUCAGUUCAGUUCAUGAUAUUCAGUUCAUGUAUCAUGUUUCAGACUCAGUCAUGUCCUCAUGUUCCCGUUCAUACAUGUUCAGUAAGCGAUCUCAGGUUCAUUAGUAUUCUCAGCUUAAGGUGACUGUCUUCGUUAGAUUUACUCAGUUCUAUGAUGUAGUUACAGUUGUAAACAUCGUAUCCAUUAUCAUUGCAUAUUCAGUCAUGCAUUCAUGAAUCAGUUCAGUCAUGUAUUUCAUGUAUCAGAUAUGCAUGGUCAGUAUGUAAAGCCAGCAUAUCAGUAGUUUUAGUCAAGUAGUCAUGCUUUAGUUAUGCAUGUUCAAUGUGUAAACUCAGUCUAUUAGAAUUUCUCAGCUUGAUUAGUCUCAUUCGAGGACGAAUGUUCCCAAUGGGGAGAUAUUGCAAUAUCCCGUAUUUUCCUAGCUUAAUUUAAGUCUUAGUACAUGAUUAAUUCCAUGUAAAAAAUUUUAAAUACUACGUCUUUUUUCAGUUUGAGCCUACCAUAGCGUAGGAAAUUCAAUUAACUUUCCAAUGAUAUAAAAUUCACCCAAAUCCGAUACCCGGGUGAAGAGUUAGAGUCAUUAUAGUGAAACAGUGUACCACCUGGUACUUCAGCGCAUCGCGGAGGCGGUCCAAAUGACAAUUGUCAUUUUCCAGUGAGCCAACAUGAUACCACCACAUCGUGCCUCCAACCAAUUUCCCAAUUUUCACUUUUCUAAUGUUUCUUCGUGGUAAUGGCGCGUCGCGCCAAUGCCCAGUUUCUCAUUCAGUAAGGCACCGUAAUGGCGUCGCGUCGCGCCAUUAGCCCAGUUCUCAGUUGUCCACUUUUCAGUGAACCAGCACGAUCGUGUCGCGUCGCGCCAUUAGCCCAGUUCUUAGUUGUCCACUUUUCAGUGAACCAGCACUAUCGUGUCGCGUCGCGCCAGAGGGUAGUGUCGAAAAUUUUUAAUAGAAAUCCAAAGUUUCGUCCAGUGUUAAAUUAAUCUUUUCCCAUGAUUUUAUUACGUCUAGAUAUGGGAUUAAAGACCUAAAAUCAUUUUAUGUCGUUCAUUAUUCAAUUUUUACCCAAAAUUAAGAGUUUUCUCUCUACAAUACAAAACCCUAACAUCAAGAAACCAAGAGCAAUCUCAAGAAAUCCUCCAAGAACCUUUAAUAACUCUUCUUCUCAGGUAUGUUAGGUGUUCAUUCAUGGGUCUCUUUCACCCAUAAAGUCCAAGAGCCCUUUUUAAACAUACAAGAUCUCAAAUUCAUGAUUUUCAUGUUUGAAUUAGAUUGAAUUCAUGUUCAUGAUAUUAGUUGGGUUUCAAUCCAUGAAUUAAUUGCAAGUUUCAUGAAAAUUGAAUAGCACGUGUGAUGAAUAUGUGAUUAUCUUGAUAAACCCUUGAAUUUACAAAAAUAUGAUACUUCCUGGACUCACGACCAUAAUCGAUAAUCCACAACAUAGGUUUCACAAUUCAUGAUUUUAAUAUAGUAUUCUUGAGAUUUAUGGGUGAAAGAAACCCAUGAAUCAAUACUAAAAAUACCUCAAAAUCUUGGAUCUUGAAAGAUAACUAACGUUUCUUGAACGUUCUUGGAUUGGGAAACACAGAUCUUGAUGUUUUCUUGAUGGUUCUUGAACUUGAAGAACAUGAAUUUCUUAGUUUCUUGAAAAGGGUUUUGAUCUUGUUCUUGGGGAUAAAUCUUUGAGAGGAACCCUAAUUUGGUGUGGUAGGUCAAUAAUAAAGUUAUGAGCUAUGAUCUGGUAUAAUUAAGGGUUAAAACAGAUGGAAAAAGACCCAAAUGCCCAUUUAAAAAAUGGCUUAAAAUUACUGAAUGGGAUCUGCGAUGGCUUGGGCGAUGGUCCAUCGAUGGCUCGAUGGUUCUUCACUCUGUCCGUCGCAGUCUAGCCAGAAAAUAGGUUACUGCCAUAUUAGCGACGGUCAGGGCGACGAUCCGUCGCUGGGUCGACAGUUCAUCGCUCUUUCUAUAAUAGUUUGACUAGAAGGUAGUCUUACUGCCUCAGUUGCGACGGUUUGGGAUACGGUCCGUCGCUAGCUUGACGGUUCUUCGCGCCUUCCGUCGCUCCUAGGAGGUUCAGACAGCUCAUUGUAAAACAUCUAUAUCUUUUUACCCCGAUACCGGAUUUGGACGAAAUUGGUAUUGUUAGAAAGCUAAUUAAAUUUCCCACAUGAUAGAAGUUGAAAUUGGGGAAAUUCUAUCUGAUUUAAACAUUAAUCAUUUAGGAAAUCAUCACUAACUCUUUUGGAGACUAGAUUAGACUUUAAAAAAUAUUUAGGGUAUUAUAUCCAUAAAGCCAGGAAUUUAGUUUAGCAGCCAGGCAGACAAGUUCGUAUGGUUUCCCAUCUUUCCACCCAGUCUCCCUAUCCGAAGUCUCCCGAAUAUGCCCAUUCCAAGAUGUUGCAUCCUAGUAGUUAUGAGUUUAGCCCAGUUUAUAUGUCGUGCCUCAGUUUUAGACCCCAAAUACUCAGUCAAGAUUCAGUUCGUAGGUACCCCAUGCAUUGUCUCAGCUUUUCCUCAGUAUCUCAUCCAGGUCGACAUUCUCAUCGAGGUCGACAUUUUUCAAGAGACAUAAUGUCCCAAGGAAGAGAUGCACUAUAACCCUUGAGCUUUCAUGUCCUAAACCUUUUAAUUUCUCUUCGCGUAACGAAUCCAAUUUGGUGUAACGGGUACUCAUAAGUUGACUCUUAUUUUAAUCUCAGUCGUAUUAACAUUCCCAUAGCAUGGCAUAUAUAUUCAAGGAAUCAGUUCAGUUCAUGAUAUUCAGUUCAUGUAUCAUGUUUCAGACUCAGUCAUGUCCUCAUGUUCCCGUUCAUACAUGUUCAGUAAGCGAUCUCAGGUUCAUUAGUAUUCUCAGCUUAAGGUGACUGUCUUCGUUAGAUUUACUCAGUUCUAUGAUGUAGUUACAGUUGUAAACAUCGUAUCCAUUAUCAUUGCAUAUUCAGUCAUGCAUUCAUGAAUCAGUUCAGUCAUGUAUUUCAUGUAUCAGAUAUGCAUGGUCAGUAUGUAAAGCCAGCAUAUCAGUAGUUUUAGUCAAGUAGUCAUGCUUUAGUUAUGCAUGUUCAAUGUGUAAACUCAGUCUAUUAGAAUUUCUCAGCUUGAUUAGUCUCAUUCGAGGACGAAUGUUCCCAAUGGGGAGAUAUUGCAAUAUCCCGUAUUUUCCUAGCUUAAUUUAAGUCUUAGUACAUGAUUAAUUCCAUGUAAAAAAUUUUAAAUACUACGUCUUUUUUCAGUUUGAGCCUACCAUAGCGUAGGAAAUUCAAUUAACUUUCCAAUGAUAUAAAAUUCACCCAAAUCCGAUACCCGGGUGAAGAGUUAGAGUCAUUAUAGUGAAACAGUGUACCAC
RNAcentral lists this long non-coding RNA (4012 nucleotides) under Capsicum annuum. RNAcentral describes it as "long non-coding RNA (CANN_LNC019449)". The record is from RNAcentral. Lineage: Eukaryota; Viridiplantae; Streptophyta; Magnoliopsida; Solanales; Solanaceae.